UAGGAUUACUAGUCAUCCCAGUUUGUCUAGGACUGCCCUGGUAGUAUCAUUUGUUAACACUGAAAGUCUCACAUUCCAGGAACCCCUCAGUCCUGGGCAAACCAGGAUGACUAGUUACCGUAAAAUGGA
RNAcentral lists this microRNA precursor (129 nucleotides) under Marmota monax (woodchuck). Lineage: Eukaryota; Metazoa; Chordata; Mammalia; Rodentia; Sciuridae. The record is from RNAcentral.